UUUAAGCAUGUUUUAAGAUUUAACUCACAAAAUAUCGCUACCCAUCUUGUUGAAUAAGUCUUAAUGUUAUUGGUACAUCGACGAUCGUAAGUUUCAUAUCAUUGUGCUUAGUGCGAGUUUUUUAACGUUCUCGAUAGAGUAAAAGUUAACUCAAAAUUUGUAUGGAGUUGGAAUGAUUGUCUACGUUUGCCGCUAGGGGCGCUGUUCCGACUGCAUACCAAUUUGACAUAACUUUUACGCUAUCGAGUACGUUCAAAAACUCGCACUAAGCACACAGAACGCGGCGGAUGACAUUAUGGCCAUAAACUUUCCUUUCACUAAUCGCAAAAAAAACAUUCCACUCCUAUUUUAUCUUUCUUGCACUUUAUUUGAUAGUAAUUUAAUCAGUGUUGUUUCAGUCGUCUUAUACCUUGAUCAUUGAGCAACUUCGUAUAGAAACGAGACUGUCGACGAUUUGCUACCAGAAGGUUCUUGGUUACUUUGGUCAUAUUGCUCGGCGGCCACCAGACAACCUUGAAAGAUUGAUUGUGGUGGGCAAGGUAGAAGGGAAAAGACCCGUCGGCCGGCCACCAAACCGUUGGUCGGAUCAGAUAACUGCGCUCACUGGACUCUCUGUUGCGAACGCCCUGAGAGAAGCCGAAAACCGAAGCAAAUGGAAGCUGAGGGUACAAAGAGCCACGAAGGGCUUUCAAGGACACGACCUUCAGCAAUGAAGUAUUCGACUAAGAAGAAGACCUUGAUCAUGAUUUUUGGGUCAUAUCUGGUUCAUUCAACUAUCAAGAGCUUACACUGGCUUGUUACAAUAAAAAUAUUUUAAUACCUGUUCUUGCUGAGGCCAGAAACGAGACAGCUGAUGCCCACCACAAAGAAUACGGCGACCAGCAGAGUCUUCUUGGACAGUGGGGCGACACUUAUCGCCAUCACAAUGACGCUGUACACAAGUGUCGUGACCACCAUCACUAGGAGGGUGCUGUUUGAGAUCGUAUCCACGCACGCGUCAGUAAUCGCCUGUAGGAGAUAUUAAUUGCUUAGGUGGGUGGAUGAGCUCACGGCGCACCUGUUGUUAAGUGGUUGCCGGGGCCCUACAUCAUACCUACAAAGCUACUACCUUACAUCGUGGCAUAUAUAAUGUAAAUGCCGCCACCUACCUUGAGAUAUGAGUUUUUUUUUUUUUUUAUGAUUGAAAGAUUACUGGUGGCCCGGAGGCCUUUCCAGCUUCACCAGGACAGGUGGGUGAGCAAAGGCUCAGCCAGGAGGGGUGGGAUUUGCUAACAACUGCCCGAGCGCCUCCGAAGGAGACCUAACAACUCAAGAGCAAUUGCUUCGCGAAUGAAUCUACUACCGGAUCGGAAUCGCGACCCACUGAGAAGAUCCGGCGAGAAACUCAGCGGGCUGAUGCAUGGGCUUUCCCCUGUUAAUGGAGUAUAUUUUCCUGAGGACAGCCAGAGCUUCGGUGCGUUUGCCUCUCGUGACUAGGAAUUUGGGGCUCUCCUGCAUCCAGGUCAUGCAGACCGCCACUACGAGCAAUGGAAUAGCGUAGACGAUGGUUAGAAGACGCCACGGUCUAAAGAUAAUCGCACCCAUUUGGUAUCGCCAUUCGUAUGGAAGAAUUAACCAGGCCAGCACUAGAAAUUAGAAAUACAUAUUACAUUUUUCAUCAUAUUUCGUUUAAAUUUGAGCUUGCAGAUUAUGUUGGUAAACAAAAAAAUAAAUAAACAAUAUUAUUAUUAUA
This is a long non-coding RNA of Bombyx mori (domestic silkworm), 1732 nucleotides long. RefSeq lists it as uncharacterized. Lineage: Eukaryota; Metazoa; Arthropoda; Insecta; Lepidoptera; Bombycidae. The transcript is spliced from 2 exons. The record is from RefSeq and is a predicted model, not a curated record.